Ictidomys tridecemlineatus (thirteen-lined ground squirrel) is the source of this 663-nucleotide non-coding RNA. The record is from RefSeq and is a predicted model, not a curated record. NCBI's taxonomy places the organism in Eukaryota, Metazoa, Chordata, Mammalia, Rodentia, Sciuridae.
GCCGGGGUCCGACCAGAGGCGUCCAAGGAAAAGCCCCGUUACCCAAGAAACUUGAAGGCAGCUUCCACCGCCCUGGGAGGCUUUCCGGAGUGUGUGUUUGUUUGUUUUUAAUCGAAGUCCGACAGAUUUUGACCCCCACUGAGGUCCUCAACCCCGCUUUUCGACUACCAACAGAGACCUGUCCACUUGCUCCUCAACAAGCCAGGCUGGAUCAGCCCAACGCUGCAGUGUGGCAGGAAAGACUGGCCUGGCAAAUACCUGACUGUCGUUUCCUUAACUGUGGAAAUAUUCAUGGUCACAGCUGUCGCCUUGUGUCUGGGCGUUGUUGCCCCUUUGAAGACAGAAUGCAUUCUUGCGUCUCUGAGGCGCUCUAACAGGCUUAGGACGCUGCUCUCCUUUAGGACAAACCGACUGCCAUAACAAAACUGGUCACACAUCAGGAGCACUUCUAGGGGCAAGCGACCUGAGAAACACCCAAGAGGCCUAUGAUUUAUUUCUGAUCAUCUACUGCUACUGAACAGGAAACUAAAAAACCACAACACUUACAAAGACAACUUCCUGUGGGAUAUCUGGUGUCUGCGGCUCAAAAUGAAAGAAACAUGGUUUGUGUAAAAUCUUUGUAAAUCUUAGUAAAACUUAUUAAAGUUUUGACCUAAUGAACAA